GCUGAACUUAAGCAUAUCAAUAAGCGGAGGAAAAGAAACCAACAGGGAUUGCCCUAGUAACGGCGAGUGAAGCGGCAACAGCUCAAAUUUGAAAUCUGGCGCAAGCCCGAGUUGUAAUUUGUAGAGGAUGCUUCUGGGUAGCGGCCGGUCUAAGUUCCUUGGAACAGGACGUCAUAGAGGGUGAGAAUCCCGUAUGUGACUGGCUUGCACCCUCCACGUAGCUCCUUCGACGAGUCGAGUUGUUUGGGAAUGCAGCUCUAAAUGGGAGGUAAAUUUCUUCUAAAGCUAAAUACCGGCCAGAGACCGAUAGCGCACAAGUAGAGUGAUCGAAAGAUGAAAAGCACUUUGGAAAGAGAGUUAAAAAGCACGUGAAAUUGUUGAAAGGGAAGCGCCCGCAACCAGACUUUGCGGCAGUGUUCGGCCGGUCUUCUGACCGGUUUACUCGCUGUCGUGAGGCCAUCAUCGUCUGGGACCGCUGGAUAAGACCUUAGGAAUGUGGCUCCCCUCGGGGAGUGUUAUAGCCUCUGGUGAUGCAGCGCGUCUCGGGCGAGGUCCGCGCUCCGGCAAGGAUGAUGGCGUAAUGGUUGUCGGCGGCCCGUCUUGAAACACGGACCAAGGAGUCUAACAUCUAUGCGAGUGUUCGGGUGUCAAACCCCUACGCGUAAUGAAAGUGAACGGAGGUGGGAACUUUUUGUGCACCAUCGACCGAUCCUGAUGUCCUCGGAUGGAUUUGAGUAAGAGCAUAGCUGUUGGGACCCGAAAGAUGGUGAACUAUGCCUGAAUAGGGUGAAGCCAGAGGAAACUCUGGUGGAGGCUCGCAGCGGUUCUGACGUGCAAAUCGAUCGUCAAAUUUGGGUAUAGGGGCGAAAGACUAAUCGAACCAUCUAGUAGCUGGUUCCUGCC
RNAcentral lists this ribosomal RNA (903 nucleotides) under Pseudocercospora cladosporioides. Its description in RNAcentral is "eukaryotic LSU rRNA". It matches the Rfam family "Eukaryotic large subunit ribosomal RNA", at positions 27 to 962 of the family's 3401-position model. The record is from RNAcentral. Lineage: Eukaryota; Fungi; Ascomycota; Dothideomycetes; Mycosphaerellales; Mycosphaerellaceae.